Long non-coding RNA from Helianthus annuus (common sunflower), 1421 nucleotides. RefSeq lists it as uncharacterized. The transcript has 3 exons. The record is from RefSeq and is a predicted model, not a curated record. Lineage: Eukaryota; Viridiplantae; Streptophyta; Magnoliopsida; Asterales; Asteraceae.
UAAAGACAAAUGUCGGUGCCACCGACAAAUGACCAUUUUACCCUUUUGUCUUUUCUAUGGCUGGAGACCUUUGUCUUUACCACAGACCAUCAUCCUCUGUAACCUCUCAUCCUCUGCAGAUCUCAUUUUUCCAAACCUUGAGCUUCUCCCCCCCAAAUAUGAGCCUUCUCCCCCCAAAAUUUUCAGCAACACACCUCGAUCUCUUCCUUACCGCCACUUUUACUACGUUCUUCAAUACACACCCGUUUCUCCUCUCACCUGGAACCCUAACCAACCGGCGGCAACCUUUACCCCACACGAAAACCCUAAUUACUAACCGGCGGCAACCAAUUCCUCACCUAACCUGCAAAAACCCUAAUUACCUAACCGGCGAAAACCCCAAUCACCUAACCUGCGGCUACAAACCCUAAUCGGAGUGUAAUAGGAGGAGGUUGUUGUUCUACCUUUUCACUUGAGCUUGAACCGAGACGAAUAUAGUUUCAUUUAUAAAUAAUCAACAUUGAAUGCGCUUCAGAGUUCACACGAACGCAACUGACUUUUACAGCUUAUGAAGUGUUGUCGAACAGCGAAAAGAGGAGUAUUUACGACCGGUACAGUGAGGAAGGGCUUAAACAGCAUGCUGCUGGUGGCGGAGGAGGGGGCGGAGGGAUGAAUAUUCAGGACGUUUUUAAGUCGUAAGAUUUCGCUUUCAGACCUUAAUAUAAGUUUAAUCAUAGUGUCAUUAUUACAUAAUAUUUUUGGCAUUGGUUUUGGUUCACAAAUUUCUUUAAUUAUACCUUCACUAAAGAGUAUUAGUAUAGGCAUGUAAGUGUCAUUUGUAAUAAACCAUGUGCUUGGUUAGCUGGCAGGUGUUUGGGACUGGCGGACCGGAGUUUUUUUUUUCAGCGGUAUCACUAAUAUUCAGUGUUCGAUGUCUAUCACUAGAUUAUAGAAUGUUUGGACCAGUUCAUAAAUGGGUCGGGUAACAUAAUAUAGAUAUAAUGUAAUACGAAAUCCUUUAAAAAAAUACAUGAUAAAAACAUGAAGCGAUCAGACUUUCGACAAUCCAAAUUAGUAAUUAAUUUCAUUCGAUGGCAAUGUAAUUUUUUUAAGUAAAGAGUCGGGUCAAGUAUACAGUAUAAAUACGAGUUACUUCAACUUUCGACGCCGCCGCAACGCGCGGCGGGUCAAAAUCCUAGUACAUUUUAAAAUUAAAAUUCAAUUUUAAACCUAGGUUACAAUCGGUCAACUCUCAAGGAUAACCCGUUUUUGCCUCUCUACCAAAAUGUAAAGUUGGGCUAUCGAGCCCCACGUUUGGGCUUACUCGAUAAUUUUGGACCCUUUGGAAUUUGGUUAUCGCUUUUGUGGGCUAGAAAAAAUAAAGUAUUUGUACACGUGUAAAUGUGUAAUGUUGUUCAAUAUUUAUAUGUAUUAUUGGUUAA